GAUAGGCCUGCACAGGCGCCAGCUGUACUGUGCACAAUAGCUCCUUCCUCUGCUUCUCCUUGGCCUGCGUCUUGUUGGCAUUGGCCAGUGAUGCUUGAGCGAGGCUCAGGCUCAGAGCAAUUAAGCUGAAUUGGUUGUUGUUACUUGGGUUCCCACAAGGAUGACACACCUCGCCAUUCUAAUCGCGCAGCAGAUGUUUGUCAGGUCCCCUCAUUGUUCAGAUGGUCUGAGUUGCCCCUCAGGGGUGAGAGAGCUGGGUGUGUGUAUGUGGCGAGAGGGAUUGGUUACUGAAGGGGACUCAUAUGGAAAGGGGAUCUGCUGGGGAGGAAGGUCCCAUCCUUCAAGUCUGUAAAUGUGUGUUAAGUACACGUCUGCAACUUCAGUUUCAGCAGUCAAGACAAGACAAGUCUUCCUCUCCCUAAUACAUACACUUGUUCAUUUUCCUUCACUCACUAUCUGCAUCUCACUCACUCACUCACACACACACACACACACACACACACACACACACUAACACACGCACACACACAAGCACAGAUGACUUUCUGGGAGGAUAGAAGAGGAGUUGGAGAGGGGUGGUCUGAGCAUCAGUAAGACACUGUCCUUUUAGACAGUGGGCUCUCUUUUAAGCCAUCAGCCUCAUUUCCUCCAGCACCUGGGCUGCUUUGGACCUCCUCCAUGUCAUCCUUGACCUCCGGUAAACCCCCAGUUCCCAGCCACAGGAACACUGUCUGGCGUUAAGGAUGAAUUCACAUAAAAGGCUGUCUUUCUUUUCAGAGGUGAAGAGAGAAUCAUUUGUGGUUCUAUACACACAGCGGCCUCUGGUUUAAUUAGCCUUCAUUUAAACAUGACUAUAUUAAGCUAUGGGGUGUACAUGACAACUGGGUAACAGCUGCACAACAUCCUUGGGUGGCUGGCAUAUGGUUUUUACUCCAUCCUGCAUGUUUUUAUUGUGUAAAUACUAUAGAAGGUGAAAUAAGAAACAAAAUUACGCUAAUCUUGUAAUUGUCCUACUGUAUUUUGUGAAAUAACUCCUAGACCUAUUUGUUUUCUCUGCAUGGUUUCAUUUUAGCAAGUAGACCAUGCCUGUCAGUUAUGUGUGCAGCCAUGAAUAAACAAAC
Clupea harengus (Atlantic herring) is the source of this 1121-nucleotide long non-coding RNA. RefSeq lists it as uncharacterized. The record is from RefSeq and is a predicted model, not a curated record. NCBI's taxonomy places the organism in Eukaryota, Metazoa, Chordata, Actinopteri, Clupeiformes, Clupeidae.